UCUCCGUUGGUGAACCAGCGGAGGGAUCAUUACAGGACUCGCAAGACUCCUUCACCCUGUGAACCUCACUACAAGCACGUUGCUUCGGCGGGUGUCCCGGCGGGGGUUUUCCCUCGCCGGGGCGCACAGCCCGCCGGCAGCCUACUAUACUCUGUCUCUUUGUGUUGGCAUCUCGAGAAAAAACAAACAAGUUAAAACUUUCAACAACGGAUCUCUUGGUUCUG
This 224-nucleotide unclassified non-coding RNA is filed under the name plant metagenome. RNAcentral describes it as "partial contains small subunit ribosomal RNA, internal transcribed spacer 1, and 5.8S ribosomal RNA". The record is from RNAcentral.